UACGAAGGGUGCAAACGUUGCUCGGAAUCAUUGGGCGUAAAGGGCGCGUAGGCGGUUUUGUAUGUCUACCGUGAAAGCGUACGGCUCAACCGUAUUUUGUCGGUAGAAACUGCAGGACUUGAGGCUGGGAGGGGCUGGCGGAAUUCCCUGUGUAGCGGUGAAAUGCGUAGAGAUGGGGGAGAACACUCGUGGCGAAGGCGGCCAGCUAGACCAGUUCUGACACUGAGGCGCGAUAGCGUGGGGAGCAAACAGG
This 253-nucleotide ribosomal RNA is filed under the name uncultured bacterium. Its description in RNAcentral is "partial 16S ribosomal RNA". It matches the Rfam family "Bacterial small subunit ribosomal RNA", at positions 524 to 776 of the family's 1533-position model. The record is from RNAcentral.